This 469-nucleotide ribosomal RNA is filed under the name uncultured bacterium. RNAcentral describes it as "bacterial SSU rRNA". It matches the Rfam family "Bacterial small subunit ribosomal RNA", at positions 328 to 794 of the family's 1533-position model. The record is from RNAcentral.
CGUCCAGACUCCUACGGGAGGCAGCAGUGAGGAAUAUUGGUCAAUGGCCGGAAGGCUGAACCAGCCAAGUCGCGUGAGGGAAUAAGGCCCUAUGGGUCGUAAACCUCUUUUGUCAGGGAGCAAAGGCGUCCACGUGUGGACGAGAGGAGAGUACCUGAAGAAAAAGCAUCGGCUAACUCCGUGCCAGCAGCCGCGGUAAUACGGAGGAUGCGAGCGUUAUCCGGAUUUAUUGGGUUUAAAGGGUGCGUAGGCGGAAUAUCAAGUCAGCGGUAAAAAUUCGGGGCUCAACCCCGUCGUGCCGUUGAAACUGAUGUUCUUGAGUGGGCGAGAAGUAUGCGGAAUGCGUGGUGUAGCGGUGAAAUGCAUAGAUAUCACGCAGAACUCCGAUUGCGAAGGCAGCGUACCGGCGCCCAACUGACGCUGAAGCACGAAAGCGUGGGUAUCGAACAGGAUUAGAUACCCGGGUAGA